RNAcentral lists this long non-coding RNA (581 nucleotides) under Homo sapiens (human). RNAcentral's name for it is "HSALNT0164973". The record is from RNAcentral. Lineage: Eukaryota; Metazoa; Chordata; Mammalia; Primates; Hominidae.
CACAAGGCUGUUUCCUGCACUGGUCAGGGAUGAGGUCCUGGAGUCCAGUGCAGGGGAAGUGUGCUAUGGGGAAGGGCUGUAGGUGGUAGGGACAGUCUUGCUGCUCCCUCCUGGGGCACCCUCACUGGUCCCUGCCGAUGCCACCUCCUACCUGUCCCCCAUGUACCUCUCCUCUGUGUUUUCCUCUGGUCCAGGCACAAACUCUUCUCAGUGUGCCACAGCAGGCUUGAAUGGGUCCAAGGAACAUGUUCUUGAAACAAAGGAAAAAACAGGCCAGAAACACUAACUCAGGGGUUGCGGUCAGGUUUAAAUGAGCUUAUGCACUGGGAUCAUUGAGUACAGUUCCUGGCACCGAGUUGGUUCUGCAAUCACUGUUUUCUAUGGGUCCCUUCUGUGGGCUAAGCCUGUGAGAGAUGUGGCUGUGCCUGCCUGGCAAACCAUUGGCCUCUGUUUGCCACACAGAGCCAGGCACACAGCAGGUGCUCAGGAGGACACGUUGUUAGUCUACGAGUCUCUCCUUACCAGUAACUUACUCAGCACAAAGGGAGAAAUAGUGAUUUCACAGUGGAGAGGCCAAGCAG